UGCGAUACUAGCUCACCUGGAUAGAGCAACAGCCUUCUAAGCUGUAGGUAGGCCGUUCGAGUCGGCCGUGUCGCAG
Molecule: transfer RNA, 76 nt
Filed under: Termitinemataceae bacterium
Lineage: Bacteria; Pseudomonadati; Spirochaetota; Spirochaetia; Spirochaetales; Termitinemataceae
Description: tRNA-Arg
Rfam family: tRNA
About the family: Transfer RNA (tRNA) molecules are approximately 80 nucleotides in length. Their secondary structure includes four short double-helical elements and three loops (D, anti-codon, and T loops).
Source: RNAcentral